AGGCAAAACGUUGAUCUGCUGAUUCCACUUCCAUCUUCUCCCCAUCCGCAAGCCGAUGAAACCAAUUGCCAAAUCCCCCAUUUCUGCUGGAUCUCGAGCGCUCCUUCUCACGGUCGUCGGUCCGUCGCCGGUGGUAGCAGCUUCACCGAGCCCUAGCUUGGUCGGUGGAACCUUUGCAUUGCAGACUCCAUUGCCCGGUGGUGCUGGUGCUUCCACCGUGAGCAGCAUCAAUGGAGUCGGGAAGGCCUUCCCCCACCACUUCUCGGACGGACUCUUCCCUCGCCAGAUCAAUCUCCGACGCCAGCCCCCAGAGCCUCUCCUCCAUCCUCAACAAUCCCCACCUCGGCAAGUCCGGCGUCUAUAGCAUCUCCUCCGACAGCUCCUCCUGGGUCGGCUGGUGGUCCUCUUCCACCGCCAUCUCUCUCCCGGAAUUCUCCCCUCUCUCUUCCUCCUCGUCCAAACCCUCCGAUCUAACCCGGUCCGACUUCCUCCCCUACAUCUCCUCCAUCCUCGAGCCCUACCAGCGUUUCGAGGACAUCCGCCGCCACACCUCCAAGGAAGAAGAUCCCCUCCUCCCCCGCGGGACUAAUGCUGCCCCAGCAGAUCCUGACGCCGCGGUCGGUCAGGGCGAUGCCCUGGUUGCCUGCCUCCGGGAGGUGCCCGCUCUCUACUUCAAAGAGGACUUCACUCUCGAGGACGGGCCGACGUUCCGUGCCGCCUGCCCCUUCUCCAACGUGUCCGAGACUCUGGUUCUCCAGGAGAAGCUCUCGCAGUACCUUGAUGUGGUGGAGCUGCACUUGGUCAAGGAGAUAUCCCUGCGGUCCAAUUCCUUCUUCGAGGCACAGGGGCAGCUCCAGGACUUGAAUGUGAAGAUCGUGCAAGGUUGCAAAUAUAUCAGGGAGCUUAAGGAGACUAUACGGCUAUUGGAUAAGGACUUGGUUGAUUCCGCCCGGCACAUUCAGGAGUUGAAUUCAUCGAGGAACAAUCUUCUGGUUCUUCAGCAGAAACUCAGGCUCAUUUUGUCUGUUAAUCAAGCUCUCUCAACCCUCAAAUUGCUUGUUGCAGCUGCUGAUUGUGCUGGUGCUUUGGAUGUUAUAGAUGAUUUGCAGCACUUACUGGAUGGAGGGGAACUUAAAGGUCUUCAUUGCUUCCGUCACCUACCGGACCAGGUGGUUGCUUCAGUUGAUUCAAUAAACAGUAUUCUUUCAGCAGAGUUUAUGCGUGCAUCUCUGCAUGAUGUUGGGGAUGUGGAUGUAAUUAUUUUAUCAAAAGCUAAGGCAAGGCCGUCCAUCGGGAUGAAUGGAGCAGAGGAUGAAGUCAAACUGGAAGAGGAAGAAACAUCGAACUUCCGAGAUCGGUUUCUACAUAUUGUAAUUGGAUUGCUGAGGACGGCUAAGCUACCAUCUGUGUUAAGAAUAUACCGUGACAUGCUUACUGCUGAUAUGAAGAAUGCGAUUAAGACCACAGUUGCAGAGCUUCUUCCCGUCCUUGUAGCUAAGCCUUUUGAGUCAGAUUUUGCACCCGGAGAAAGAACAGCAGAUGGAGAUGGUGGAGGUUCAUCUCUUGCAAGCAAAUUGAGGAGUCUCUCAUCUGAGAACUUUGUCCAUCUCUUGAGCACUAUCUUCAAGAUUGUACGGGUACAUCUAAUGCGAGCUGCUGAAGUUAAAAAGGCCAUUGAGUGGAUUAUGUCCAAUCUUGAGGGCGAGUAUGCUGAUGGAAAGACAAGUGACCCCAACAGUAUCUCAAAUGUGUCAAAAAACUUCAGAGCUGAUGUAUUGAGAGAAAAUGCAGAAGCUGUAUUUGCUGCUUGUGAUGCUGCUCAUGGAAGAUGGGCAAAGCUUCUUGGAGUGCGUGCUCUGCUUCAUCCUAGGUUGAGAUUACAGGAGUUCUUAAGCAUAUACAACAUCACACAAGAGUUUAUAUCUGCUACUGAGAAGAUUGGUGGAAGGUUGGGAUAUAGCAUCAGGGGCACCCUGCAAUCACAGGCUAAGUCCUUUGUUGACUUUCAGCAUGAAUCUCGUAUGACCAAAAUAAAGGCUGUGCUUGAUCAAGAAACUUGGGUUGAAGUUGAUGUACCUGAAGAGUUCCAGACCAUUGUAUAUUCAUUAUUUGGAACUCAGCCAUCCUCCAAUGGAGGACCAGAUGUCUCUCCAGUGAGCACAUUCAUUGAUGAUGAUGGUAUUGGCAAGACGGUUACUUCUACACAGCAGGAAAUAUUGGGAACUGAUUCAAUUGAUGGAACUGGAGAUAUUGCUAGACAGGCAAAAUAUCCUUCUGCUGCUGGAAGUCUUGAAAGAAGCAAAGCUGACGACGUCCAUUCUUCUCAUGCUAAUAACAGUAGUAUAAAAGAGCGUGGGAGGUCUGCUGCCCAGUCUAUUGUGUACAGAGGUGUUGGUUAUCACAUGGUAAACUGUGGCUUAAUAUUGGUGAAGAUGUUGUCAGAAUACAUUGACAUGAACAAUUUUUUACCAGCACUUUCUUCUGAGGUAGUUCUUCGAGUCGUGGAGAUACUAAAGCAUUUUAAUACAAGAACAUGUCAACUUGUUCUUGGUGCUCAUGCUAUGCAGGUUUCUGGCUUAAAGUCUAUUACAUCCAAACAUUUGGCACUGGCUAGUCAAGUCAUUAGCUUUGUACAUGCCAUUAUUCCUGAAAUUAGGCAUAUUCUAUUCAUGAAAGUACCUGAAACGCGGAAGGCCUUACUGUUAUUGGAGAUGGAUCGGGUAGCACAGGAUUACAAGGUCCAUCAAGAUGAAAUUCACUCUAAGCUUGUUCAGAUUAUGAGAGAGAGGCUCUUGGUUCAUUUGCGUGGCUUACAACAAAUCUUUCAGAGCUGGAAUAAUGCUGGUGAUAAUGAUGCACAACCAAGUCAGUUUGCUCGAUCACUUACAAAAGAAGUUGGCUUUCUUCAACGAGUAUUAUCUCGGACUCUGCAUGAGGCUGAUGUUCAAGCGAUUUUCAGGCAAGUGGUUUCCAUCUUUCAUUCACAAAUUUCAGAAGCAUUUACCAGUGCAUUGAAGAACUCGGAGGUGAGCACAGUGGAAUCCAGGAAAAGGCUAUGUAAGGACACUAGGCACAUUCUUAGCUGCAUCAGAUCAUUGCCCACGGGAGAUUCGAAUGAAUCUGUUACUCCAAAUUGGGGCCGACUUGAUGAGUUUUUAGCUGAAAAUUUUGGCACUGAAACUGCUCAAUAGAGGAGCUUAUUGUAUAGUGUGGAAGUACUCUUCUCCUCUGAUGAAAUCUGUUAAGCUGUCCAUCAUAUAUUUUCCAGAAGAAGUUUGAAGAUGAGACAGUUACUACAUAUACCACAAAGAAGUUGAAAGGGAUGGCACGGUGUCGGAUAAAUUCAUUCUUCUUUUUGUUUUUUUUUUUCUUUUGGUGAAAUUCUGUAUCAUUGAAUUCUGCAAAGGAGAUAAUGCAUUUUCGACCAGAGUUCUAGGCCGUGUGGCUUACACUUUCAAAUUCUUUUUCUUUAUCCCCCUUGGUUUGAUGAGAUGAUUCUCUCAUGAAGACGAGCAGUCUCGGUCUAAGGAGUCAAUGAUUUUUGAAGUAGCAACAAAGUAUAGCAGCAUCAAUCCAAUACAAUCCAUUGUGUGACAUCAUUGAUAGCGGUUCUAUCCUUUCUCUUACAUUUGUUGUGUUAUGCUUGUAUCCUUAGUUAGCCGCACCGAUUUUACAAUGUAUUCUUUGUAUUGUUCAACUAGAAAUUAGUGCAUAUCAUGUUCUCUCUCGAGCGAUUUCCUGUAUUUGCUGUGUUUCGGGUAAUAUGCUUGUAAUUCUGGUUCAUAGCAUCACAUGUAAAUGCAACUACAAUGAAGUUGACUGUCCCGCGGCAUAUCUAUCAAUUUUCAAUCAUUUGGAA
Non-coding RNA from Punica granatum (pomegranate), 3859 nucleotides. The record is from RefSeq and is a predicted model, not a curated record. Lineage: Eukaryota; Viridiplantae; Streptophyta; Magnoliopsida; Myrtales; Lythraceae.